Molecule: long non-coding RNA, 496 nt
Organism: Myotis brandtii (Brandt's bat)
Lineage: Eukaryota; Metazoa; Chordata; Mammalia; Chiroptera; Vespertilionidae
Exons: 2
Source: RefSeq, a predicted model, not a curated record
UGCCAUCAGCCCUCUGCUUUGACUGAGAUAUGGAUGGAAUGGGGCCAAGGUCUCCAUGUUUUGAAGUUUCUAUUUUAUCUUCGACCCUUGUCCUGCGGGUUGGUUCUUUAUCUCUAAGGACACAGAUAUUAUAGGCAGUGAAGUCUGAUAAAUUUGCCUGAACAGUCUUUUUGCAGUUUUCAAGUAAGACCAGGGUGGUGAAAACUUGCCAGUGGUCCGGACUGAGAUGGGCAUGUAGCUACGGGGCUAUGUUUGGUGUGGAUCUACCCACUGCCAGGGCGUCCAAAGGCAGAACACUGUGUUCUACUCAAUGGAACACCUAAAGCCCUUAACAGACUAAAGCAAAGCAGAGAUGGGCUGAAUAUGCAAACCUUUGGCGCGUGUGGGAGCUGCAAUGAAGUACAGGCGCCCCAGGCUCAGAGGGCUCCCCAUUCUUUUUUUCUCAUUUCAGGUCUGCCUCUCAAACUCUGGUUUGGUAUAGAAAGCUCCCUGUGAA